Molecule: ribosomal RNA, 460 nt
Filed under: uncultured bacterium
Lineage: Bacteria
Description: partial 16S ribosomal RNA
Rfam family: Bacterial small subunit ribosomal RNA
Source: RNAcentral
CCUACGGGUGGCAGCAGUGAGGAAUAUUGGUCAAUGGCCGUAAGGCUGAACCAGCCAAGUCGCGUGAAGGAAGAAGGAUCUAUGGUUUGUAAACUUCUUUUAUAGGGGAAUAAAGGUAUCCACGUGUGGAUAUUUGCAUGUACCCUAUGAAUCAGCAUCGGCUAACUCCGUGCCAGCAGCCGCGGUAAUACGGAGGAUGCGAGCGUUAUCCGGAUUUAUUGGGUUUAAAGGGUGAGUAGGUCGUUUUUUAAGUCAGCGGUGAAAGGUUGUGGCUAAACCAUAAAAUUGCCGUUGAAACUGGAAGACUGGAGUGUGUUUGAGGUAGGCGGAAUGCGUGGGGUAGCGGUGAAAUGCAUAGAUAUCACGCAGAACUCCGAUUGCGAAGGCAGCUUACUAAGCCAUAACUGACACUGAAGCACGAAAGCGUGGGGAUCAAACAGGAUUAGAUACCCCAGUAGUC